RNAcentral lists this long non-coding RNA (896 nucleotides) under Elaeis guineensis (African oil palm). RNAcentral describes it as "long non-coding RNA (EGUI_LNC074916)". Lineage: Eukaryota; Viridiplantae; Streptophyta; Magnoliopsida; Arecales; Arecaceae. The record is from RNAcentral.
CCCGUCAGAGGGUACAGUACGUAAAACGCGGAAGAAUAUCGGUGCCGCAAAGCUUUUCUCUUCAAUUAUUUUUACUUUCACGCUUUCCCAUGCCUAAAACGAAGUAAACAAAGAAAUGUACGCAUAAAGCCAAAAGAAAAGGAAUCACCGAUAAAAAGAGGCCGAGCAGCAGAAAGACAGCCAAAAGGCCGUGCGCCGGUGGGCGUCCAGUAGAGGGAGUGGAAGGAAAUCGGCCGAGCCCCCGCCCUUAAUUUGCCGGGAGAGAUGGAAGGGUCCCGGGUUUCUCUUUGGGUGCUGCUGCUCCUCCUCUCCCAGUACGCUUCAGCCGUAGUAGAAGACGGUGAGUCUCUCUCUCUCCUUCCCCCUUCUUGAAAUCUUGAUUGACUUUGUCUCUCUUUUUUGGUACCCUUCGUUCAUUGAUACAAUGUUGGGUUUAGCGCUGAUUUGGUUGACGGGUAUUGCAUAUAUUUUAACACUUUAACUUAUAAAUAGAAGUAGAGUGUGGUAUUCUUUUUCACAGAUCAGGAUUCAGUGGAAGUGUUUUUAGGCUUAAUUCGAGAUUUCAUUUGAUUUGUUGUUCUCAGAAAAAAACUUAUGGUUGUUUGAAAUAAUUCCUUCUGCCUUCACUUACAUUUUGGAGGAAGAGGGAGACAUGCAUAUGGGCCCUCCUUACCAUAUUUUCUUUGAAGACGGGGCUGUUUUGAGUUCUUGCUCUCUUGAGAGAUUAGUUUCCAUUUUGUGUCGAAUAUUUGAAGUUGUUUUUAUAGCGUUACAUAUACGCGGAUGAGCUUCAUUGAUAUUUGCUUGUAUGCAUUCAAGAUGGUUGCCUUUUGGUGCUGGACAAAACAACAUGACUCUGAAACCCUUUUAGGGUGGUUCAUCUUUACAGAAACUUA